CUGACAUGCAGGUGACUAUGUGGGUCUAGGGGCUGGCACAAUUAGGGGAUGUGAGGGUAGGUUGAAAGACCCUCGGAUAGAGGAGCCUCCACAAAUCGGAGGGUCCCCCCAAAAAACUCAAUAUCCAGUCCAGUUGAUGUAAAAAUAAGAGCUCCUGAGCGCUGGGAUUGCAAACAUGGGCCAGCACACUCAAGUUUAUGUAAUACGACAGAGAGGAGGGGGCACAGGGUUUUUGUAGCAAUCCAGGACUCGGCUUCCCCUUCCACUCAGAGAGGUACCAGAUAGCCAGAUAGGUACCCAGAACUUUUUCCUGUGUAUGUUGAUUCCAAGAUGACUGUAUUUAUCUGAUCUAUCUAUCUAUCUAUCUAUCUAUCUAUCUAUCUUUUAAAAAUAUUCUUUUAAAUUUAUUAAUUUAAUUUUUACAUUCCAAUUCAAGUUCCUCCUCCCUCCUCUUCUCUUGAUCUGUCUGUUUGCUACAAUGUAUGGAUCAGAGAUUACAUUCUGGUUCCCCUUUUUACUCUUAUCCAGUCCUGCUUGUUUCUAUACCUGUAUACUUACCUAAUUCUGUAUACAACUUAAAUUAAACUGUGCUAAGUCUCAUAUUUCUAAAUUGCUAUGUAUCUUAAAAUGAUGGUAAACAUUUAAAGUCAUAAAGGUCUAGUUUAACUAUACUUAAAAUAUAAGCUAAGUCUAUACAACUUAAAUUUAACUCAUGUAUCUUUAAAUGAUGAUGAAAGUUUAAAAUCAUAAAGGUCUAUUUCAAAUUAACAAAAUAUUAUACCACUCAGUUCAUCCUGUAAGCUGUUUACAAGGGUACAGCUUUUUUUAUUACAAAAGGGGAUUUUUCUCUAACUAAAGGCAAACUUUUGACUGCUGAGAUACUAAACAGACAGACAGCCCUCAAAUGCUCAGAGAUCUAGAGAACAUGGCAUUUAAAACGUUUUGUUAAAAAGCUUUUUAUAACAGAGAGAUAGGCCAGCUGCUGGCCCCACCCCAUUUCCUCCAAGAAGACUAAUGGGCACUGAAGAAACUUCAUCUCGAGUCAGUGACAAUGCUGGUCACUGAGCAACCCUGCCCUACACCUCACUCCAGGCCGUGGACAAGAGGACAGUGGAAUCAACUUUCCCUGUGUUGCUUGGACCAACAGUAGGCAAGUCUUCCUAUAGCCUGUAAUCCAUAGGUCACAUGCUAUCAGCAAGAAGGCAGGUGUCCUGCAGCCCACUACUGUGGAUGGAGGAUCUUGGGAUGGCUGUCCAUGCAGCCUGCUGGCAAGUCUCUGUUAUUCUUUAAUCAUUGAUUCAGCUCUAAGGAUUCUUGUAAGUUCCAGGGAGUUGAAUUGGAUCCAAACAUACAGGUCUAAGAGACGCCAGGGAGUCCCAUACAGCCUGGACCACAAUGAAACAACCAUCUACCCCAGGACGUGGCAGCACCCCAAUCUUCUCAGAUCCCCCCAAAGACGAUCAACGCCCCAGGUCAGCAGGAAGCAGCCUUGAGAUUUCUUCGUCCCUACUUCCUAACCUGCCACAUCCAAUUCUCCAACUUUUAUAAUAAACAACAGCCGGGAUUGUAAGAACAAUACACCUGGAUGACCCCGCCCCCCUAACAACAAGCAGGGCACACACAGGAAAACUUGCUACGUCAUCACCACAUCACCCGCCAUGCAUUGCGGCCUUCGUGAGGACUCUGCAUAUGUGCGAAACCUCAGUGUGCAUGCGUAGUCUUUCCCUUAAAAGCAACAACUUCCCUGCUGCUCUCUCUUUUACUCUCUCUCUCUGUUUCUUCUUGGCUCUCUCUCACCUAGGCGCUUUUUCUGCCUCUCUGUGGCAACUGGCCAUGGCGGUCAGCCAUUACCCCUGUUCCUCUUCUCUCUUAGUCUCUCUACUCUGCCGAGCUUAUAAUGAAGGACUUUAGAAUUAACAAAGAAAUAACUAAGAAGAAAAACAAUCCUCUCACCCUAAGAACAGGGAGACCUGACUUAAAACCUAACCAAGGUCACAAUGACCCAAGCCCCUGGAAUUUCUUAGCUGGCAGAUAUAACUCCCUUACAAGGCCACAAGACAACCUAACUGAAUACCAAGAAUUCCUAGAGGGCCACCCUGCCCUAGGGUCAUGAAGAUAGAAACAGACUAUCCCACUGAGCCAGGAGACCAUCCGGCCCCAAAGAUAAGAGAUCUCCAAAGGAUCUGUGACUCUGGUCACGUACCCAAACCCCUAAAAGCCUAUGGUUUUUUCUCCUAUAAAAGGAGCCUGCUUUAGAGGAACAGGGCUUCUUCUUUGUCUGUCGGACUGGGAAGCCCGUUUGCGCAAACGUCCCAUAAUAAACUUACCUCUUGUUUUUGCAUCAGCUGGACUGGACAUUGAGUGUUUUGGGGGGGAUCGUCCGAUUUGUAGAGACUCCUCGGUCCGAGGGUCUUUCAUUAAUAAACUAGUUAAUAUGUCUCAUCUGCCUCUCUCUUUUUCUUCAAAAACAUAACACUCCCAUCCCACCUCCCAUCUGCUCCUCAGAGAGGGUAAGGCCUCCC
RNAcentral lists this long non-coding RNA (2522 nucleotides) under Cricetulus griseus (Chinese hamster). Its description in RNAcentral is "lncRNA (ENSCGRG00015031962.1)". Lineage: Eukaryota; Metazoa; Chordata; Mammalia; Rodentia; Cricetidae. The record is from RNAcentral.